Siniperca chuatsi (mandarin fish) is the source of this 281-nucleotide long non-coding RNA. RefSeq lists it as uncharacterized. Lineage: Eukaryota; Metazoa; Chordata; Actinopteri; Centrarchiformes; Sinipercidae. The transcript has 3 exons. The record is from RefSeq and is a predicted model, not a curated record.
AAAAGAAGUGUAGAGUUAGUGAAGCUGUAAUGAACUGAUGGCUUCCUGCUGCUGUAUUAUGAAAACAAGUCCCAUUUCCACAAUAAACCAAGGACACUAAAGGGCUGCAGAACAGUUCUGCCAACAGACACAACAGGAAUGAAAUGAGAAUCAUGUCGUCAGGAUGAAAUGUGCAACACAUCGUCCGUCCAAAAAGUUUUUGGACAACAAUGGAGCUCCGUGGUACGGAGGACACAUAUGUUCAACUCCCACUGCUCUACAUCAGAAAAAAGUAAGCACCA